GAUGAACGCUGGCGGCGUGCUUAACACAUGCAAGUCGAACGAUCAAACUCAGCUUGCUGGCUGGAGUAGUGGCCAACGGGUGGGUAACACAUGAGUGACCUGCCUUUCACUCUGAGAUAAGCCUGUGAAACUAAGUCUAAUUCCGGACAGAAGAUUUAUCGGCAUGGUGGGUGCUGGAAUGAUUUAUGGGUUUUGGAUGGACUCGCGGCCUAUCAGCUUGUUGGUGAGGUAUUGGCUCAGCAAGGCCAAGACAGGUAGCCGGCCUGAGAGGGUCACCGGCCACACUAGGCCUGAGACAGGGCACAGACUGGUAUGGGAGGCAGCAGUGGAGAAUAUUACACAGUGGGCGAGAGCGAGAUGCAGCGACGCCGCGUGAGGGAAGACGUGAUUCGGGUUGUGAACCAAUGUCAGUAUAGAAGAAGAGAUAUUGACGGUACCUGCAGAAGAAGCACCGGCUAACUACGUG
RNAcentral lists this ribosomal RNA (466 nucleotides) under uncultured bacterium. Its description in RNAcentral is "partial 16S ribosomal RNA". It matches the Rfam family "Bacterial small subunit ribosomal RNA", at positions 28 to 507 of the family's 1533-position model. The record is from RNAcentral.